GACUAACGCUGGCGGCGCGCCUAACACAUGCAAGUCGCACGAGAAACCCUCCGCAAGGAGGGCGGUAAAGUGGCGAACGGGUGAGUAAUACAUGGGUGACCUGUCCUCAAGAUGGGAAUAACCUCGCGAAAGCGGGGCUAAUACCCAAUGCCAUUUCGAUCCUACGGGAUUGGGAUGAAAGAUAGCUGUUACAGGCUGUUGCUUGAAGAGGGGCCCAUGCCCCAUCAGCUAGNGGUAGGUAACGGCCUACCAAGGCGAUGACGGGUAGCUGGUCUGAGAGGACGACCAGCCACACUGGCACUGAGACACGGGCCAGACUCCUACGGGAGGCAGCAGUGAGGAAUCUUGCGCAAUGGACGAAAGUCUGACGCAGCGACGCCGCGUGGGGGAUGAAGGCCUCGGUCGUAACCC
RNAcentral lists this ribosomal RNA (411 nucleotides) under uncultured bacterium. RNAcentral's name for it is "bacterial SSU rRNA". It matches the Rfam family "Bacterial small subunit ribosomal RNA", at positions 28 to 431 of the family's 1533-position model. The record is from RNAcentral.